GGCCGCUCGGCCUGGCCUCAUAAACCAGUGCCCCCCGAGGUGCCCCUGCAGACACGGAUCUCCGCUGCUUUCCUGCUGGGAAGUCUCUCUUGCUGUGCACAGAGCCGAGCCCCGGGGCUGGACGCGGAGCGCUGCCCGGCCGGGCCCUUCCCGAUGGGGCGAAUGGGGCCGCUCCGCAUCGCGGGGGAGACAAGAGGAGCAGAGCAGCCCGGGGCCGUCGGGUUUUCCUCGGACACCCAACCUGGGUCGUGUCUGCAUCGCUCCGGACCUCGCCAGGCUUGGAAAUGAGCCGCAUCUGUUGCAGCCGGGAUACAUUCCUUGAUCGUUUCUGAGUCUGCAAUUAUUUCUCUGCCUGCCCAGUGUCCCGGAGAUGUGAAACGAAGCUGCCAUGCUCUGCUGCUGAGCCCUGAAACUCCACACAGACAUUCAAUUUAAUCUCUUGGAACAGACUGCAUUAAAGUCGUGUCAUCAGUGCACACUUGUGAUAAAAAGACGACAUGAAGAAAGACACUGAACUGAAAGGCUCUGCUUUGCUUUUCUGGGAAGAAAAUAGGAUAUCUGUCCCUUCAUUUGUUUCACGGAUUCCUUGCAUUUAAAUUCAGCAGAAGGCUUCAAUUGUCUAAACUUUAUCCUGAGCGUUUUUUGUCAGUGCUGGAAAGGAAUACAGUUAAGUGUUCCAUGGGGAGUCUGAUAGAAAAAGCUAUGUGCAGUGUUAAUGAGUUGGGAUGGGGUCAUUCGUUUUUCCAUAUAGAGCCAGAAACAAACACAGGACGCGAGGAGAAAUGAUCUGCAGGGAUCCACUGAUCUGUGGUAUGGGGUGAUCCUGAACUUCCACAGCCCUUCCAAAGACUCACAGAAGGAUCAAGGGGGCUUUCAGCUUAAAGUGCUCCCGUGUGCUUCAAUCCUGCUUCAUGCCAGGGCUCCAUGGAUAGCUGGUGCUGGAAGAAAUGACAAACGUCUUGGGUGCCACAAGAGAUUGCAUCAGCGUUACUGAUCCUCACUCGGCUGGUUACUGAAAACGCAUCAAGCAUCUCGAUGGGUCAGACUGCUAAAUUUGUAGACACGGAGUGUCAGGAAGCCUUUUUGUCAUCUUAGUACCAUUUAGUAUAUUUGUCCUCAAGUUCAAAGCAAUCCCGGCCUCAGACUUGUGAUAUUUGCUGCCCUUUCCCCUUUCUGUUGGCUCAGACCUCUUCCCUUUGAGGUCAACAUCAAAAUA
Pezoporus flaviventris is the source of this 1216-nucleotide long non-coding RNA. RefSeq lists it as uncharacterized. The transcript is spliced from 3 exons. The record is from RefSeq and is a predicted model, not a curated record. Lineage: Eukaryota; Metazoa; Chordata; Aves; Psittaciformes; Psittacidae.